This 1503-nucleotide long non-coding RNA is filed under the name Lathyrus oleraceus (garden pea). Its description in RNAcentral is "Pisum sativum (pea) long non-coding RNA (PSAT_LNC038794)". Lineage: Eukaryota; Viridiplantae; Streptophyta; Magnoliopsida; Fabales; Fabaceae. The record is from RNAcentral.
AAUGAAGAAAGAAUUUUUUUUUUUUAAAAGUAUCUCCUUCUCUUUAGAUUUUUGUUUCCUAUAAAAUAUAAGCAAAUCAAAUCGCAUUCUCUUAAACUGACACACAAAAGACCAACCCAAGUGAAUGAUCAUCAGAUUAAUAAAAAAAAACUUAUCAAUAUUUAAAAUUGAAAACAUUUAACACAAAAUCUCAUUCUCUCAACCGAAACAGUACGAAACUGAAAAUAAUAUUUACAACAUCAAUUCUAAAAAAACAUAAAUAAUGUUGAUACAACUAUACUCGUGUUAAAGAAGAACCAACACACAAUCAUAACGAAAAAUAAUUUAACAACCAGGCAUAUGCGACACAGGUUGUUACCAUAAUGUCAUCAGCGGUGGGUUUGCUUCCGAUCCCAGUAGAAAGGUUGGAGUUGAAACUUUCACAUUGUUGAUCAAUUUUCUUUUGUCUUAAAGUAGCAUCAUCCUCGAUGGACCAAAGCAUGAAUCAUCACCAACCUUGACGUACUCCUUUUUAGCUCCAUCACUAAUGGAUGUUCCAAACAAUGGUUGUUCACUCCACAAAUACGACAAUAUCAAGAUAAUUGUACAUCUUGUAAAAACAAUCUCAAACCAAAGGAAUAGCCCACAAUAUACAUGGAGUAAAAAGGAGAUGAUGACGCAGACUCAAGCAAUCUUAUUACUUCAUCUCUAAAUUUUUUUCUAGGGUAAGAAGUAAAGAUGUUGAUCCUUGGCCUAUCUGUGUGGGAAAGGAGAGGGUUUGGCUAUGUUUUACGGCGUCGGAGGAGGUGAAGUGAUGAGGGAUUAUUUUGUUGUUGUAGCCGGUGUGAAUGGAGAUCUCGGAAGCCAAUCGGUUGGAUGGGUUGUGUCGCCGUGAAAGUUGUUGGAGGAAGGGUUUUACCGUGGUGGCGAUUUUUGUGUUUAAUGGGGUCUUGCCGGCGACGGAGGGUUUGGUGAAGGCCACACAGAAGGUUUGUUUGUAUGGUUGUGGUUAGGUGAUUGUUAGGUGAUGAGUGUUGGAAUGCGGCGUAUCACGGUGCGGGUGGAAGGCGAAAUAUGGUAUUAAUGUUAUUGUGAGGGUCGAUGAAGAAAAAGAAGGGUAAAAGGAGAGGAAUGGCGAGGAGGAGCUUUGACGGGGGAAGGAGGUUGUAGGAGGAUGACGUCAGAGACCUGACGGGGGAAGGAGGUUGUAGGAGGAUGACGUCAGAGACCUUUGGGAGAAGAAGAGGGUCCUUCCCAAGAGAGAAAGAUCAAAAAUUCUUUAAUUCGUCUCUUUCGUUUUCUUUUAUUUUUUUUCUAGCAGACCAAAAGAGAGAAUUCUGUUGGUGAGUGGGGAUGAAACCAAUCCCUUUUUGAUUGGUGGGAGCGGUCCCUCUCUAAUCCCUUCACCAACUAUUAAUCAAUUUAUUUUCUACUCCUUUUUUUUGUUUUUUCGCCAGCUGUCCUCUUGGAGAGAGGGAGUACUAUUGUGAGCUGUCAUCAACAAUGUCGUUGGGAAUGGAAGGG